UACGUAGGGCGCAAGCGUUGUCCGGAAUUAUUGGGCGUAAAGAGCUCGUAGGCGGCCUGUUGCGUCCGCUGUGAAAUCCCGGGGCUCAACCCCGGGCCUGCAGUGGAUACGGGCUGGCUGGAGGCAGGCAGGGGAGAACGGAAUUCCUGGUGUAGCGGUGAAAUGCGUAGAUAUCAGGAGGAACACCUGUGGUGUAGACAGCUUACUGGACCACUUCUGACGCUGAGACACGAAAGCGUGGGUAGCAAACAGG
Molecule: ribosomal RNA, 253 nt
Filed under: uncultured bacterium
Lineage: Bacteria
Description: partial 16S ribosomal RNA
Rfam family: Bacterial small subunit ribosomal RNA
Source: RNAcentral